This 2421-nucleotide long non-coding RNA is filed under the name Homo sapiens (human). RNAcentral's name for it is "HSALNT0356522". Lineage: Eukaryota; Metazoa; Chordata; Mammalia; Primates; Hominidae. The record is from RNAcentral.
UCAAGGGGCCCUGCAUUUCCAUUUUGCACUGGGCCCUGCUCAUUGUGGACUUGAUCCUGGCCUUAGGUCCUGGCAUGUACUGGUGCUGGCAGGCUCUGUGGGGUAAGGUGCCUGCCAGCCUAAUGGGCAGGCCUGGGAGGUGGAACCCUCAAGCCCUCCAAGAGAAGGAAAGAAAGCAGAACCAGGUGUGAGCACGCUUGAGAAAACCCCUGUGCCUUUCAUGGGAAGCCCCCCUCCCCACCCGAUGAAGAACCCCAGAGCAGAAUGCUCCGAGGGGUUGUUUCCCUGGCAACUCCUGUCUCCCCCAUUCCAUGCAAAAUAAAACACAAACCAAGCUUUGCUUUAAGUGCUCCCUGAUGCAGUUCAGCGUGGAGAACUGCGCGUCUGCCAAAGAGCCCGAACAAAACCAUCUGGACUCUGCUGCAUGGCCCCGUCUGUGGCUGCUGUAGCUGCCCGUGGGAAGGCCCUGCCUCCAGCUUCUGCCCUUGGCUGCGAACCAUGGAGUCCCGGCUCCCAGGCCUAUCCCCGGGAUGAUGCACUAGACAUUUUUGUGGCAGGGUGCAGAACAAUGGAUUCCCCCUGAUGCUUGCUUUAAGCAUGAAUUUUUGUUUUGCAAAUGCAAUCCUGGGAAGGAAGGGAGUCCACCAAUUAGUGGGAACAGCUCUUACUGACUAAUGGAUGGUUAACUUUACAAGUGGAAUGAUUUUUACAAAUGAGCUACAAUAUGACUUUUUAAGAUUCCUUCAACAUCAGGAUUCCCGAUCAUCUCAUCAACCGACUUGUUAAGAAAACUGAGGCCCAGGGAAGUGGCUCACAAUUGUGUAGAAUUGUGAGGUGUCUUGACUGCUGGGCCAGGACUGAAGGACGUACGCCCUCUCCCGGAAUCGUCUCAGCUACAGAGAACCACCUUGCCCAAGGUCACCACCCUCUUGCCAAGGGGGUCACUUGGAUCUAAUGAUUGGUUAAUGCUGGGGGGAGGGGGUGUGCACAGGGUGUGGCUUCCAAGGGGAAUGUGGAUGCUGGAAUGAGGGAGGCAGCCACCUAGGCCGGUCAAGUCAGAGGCCCAGCAAGGAGAAAGCGAGCCAAGGCAAACGCCGACAGAAGAGAACGAUAAAUCCGCGGCGCACUCGGCAGAACGUACACCGCACCGCAUAAUUUAGCGGGGCAAUGCCGCCGGGAGUCCACGCCAAGUUAAUGGAAUAUUUCCUGUAAAUAUUAUUUUCCCUUCCUGUCUCAUCAUCUCAUUUCAUUCAAAAAUCUUUACUAAUCCGGGGGAGUGAAAGUAAUGCAUCAAUUUCCAGAGCCAAUGCCCCUGCUUCCGAAAUACCCUUAGGAAUCACUGGAAGCCACCGCGGCUGCUUAGGGACAGGGGGGCAGGCCGUUUACUCUGGUUCCUUCUCCUAAUGCCUCAGAGGGGACCCCAUAGUGCUCCUAAUUGUGCAUCUAAGUGUACAUAAAAGCCCCCCUAAUUGCACAUCAAAUAAAUAAGUAAAUGCUGUCUGCUGAAUAUGUAACAAGGACUGAUGUUGCUAUUUCUUCCCAGGGGGGAGAUUUCAUUAAAUCUGGGCUGCAUUUCUAAGUGAUGAUUUACAGAUAUUGAAUAUUCUUUACAAGGGAGGCUUUUUUGGAGUUAUGUGCUUCACAAUAUUUGCUCUAAUGCUUAAAGCCUCAGAUACAGCCUGCUGGAGGUCUCUUUAUUCUAACUCUUAGUGUCCUUUUGGAAAGUCUUUUCUGCUUUAAUGUGUAAUGGCUUCCGAUGAUCAGAUGGCUGGUUUGUCUGCAGGUCUGGGGACUGUGCAACCCCCUGGUCUCCCAAUGCCUCAGUUACUGACGCUGCAAACAAGGCAGAUUGUCCCAGAGAUUAGAGCUCUCAGGCUUUCUCGGGCUUCAAUCAAUCAAAGGAACGUAAGGACCCCUCCCCUACAGAGAGAGCCGGACGUGAGCCAGAUUUUGUCCAGACUUACUUAUAUCUGCCCUGUGGGAUCCCGAUUCUGCAAGAUUUAAUAAACAAUGCCUCAACAGAUAGCAUUUAAUUUUCAUUCAAACGUUUCCAGGGAAGAAAGAGGUAAAACUCUUGCUUGUACCAGCACAACUGCCCGAAACCCGUGGGAUACCCAGUCUGAGGCAUGUUGCUAUCGACAGUCAUUUCACACAGCUGGCAGUUUUUUCUUUUCUGAUGGCCUAGCUCUCUUUACUCCACCGUAAAUGCAAACUAAGACGAAACUUGGGAUUUACCUCCGGUGCCUAAAUGCCAACCUGACACUGUCUCAUUGUCUCCUGAGCCCAGUAGGACGGUAAUUUGUGAAAUACGGAGCCUCUCACCUCAGCAGCGCUUCUUUCUAUUCCCACACAUAUGCACAUGCUAAAAUGGAAUGUGGUAACUAGCAUAAAAUAGGGUACAACAAUUGCUGCAAGAUUUGU